GCCGAAGUGGCGGAACUGGCAUACGCGCACGACUCAAAAUCGUGUCCCCUAAAGGGAUGUGGGUUCGAUUCCCACCUUCGGCACCA
This 86-nucleotide transfer RNA is filed under the name Chloroflexota bacterium. Its description in RNAcentral is "Chloroflexi bacterium (sediment metagenome) tRNA-Leu". It matches the Rfam family "tRNA". Rfam says of the family: Transfer RNA (tRNA) molecules are approximately 80 nucleotides in length. Their secondary structure includes four short double-helical elements and three loops (D, anti-codon, and T loops). Lineage: Bacteria; Bacillati; Chloroflexota. The record is from RNAcentral.